Molecule: ribosomal RNA, 2923 nt
Filed under: Klebsiella pneumoniae
Lineage: Bacteria; Pseudomonadati; Pseudomonadota; Gammaproteobacteria; Enterobacterales; Enterobacteriaceae
Also listed under: 1 other name
Description: 23S ribosomal RNA
Rfam family: Bacterial large subunit ribosomal RNA
Source: RNAcentral
GGGUUGUGAGGUUAAGCGACUAAGCGUACACGGUGGAUGCCCUGGCAGUCAGAGGCGAUGAAGGACGUGCUAAUCUGCGAAAAGCGUCGGUAAGGUGAUAUGAACCGUUACAGCCGGCGAUGUCCGAAUGGGGAAACCCAGUGCAAUUCGUUGCACUAUCGUUAACUGAAUACAUAGGUUAACGAGGCGAACCGGGGGAACUGAAACAUCUAAGUACCCCGAGGAAAAGAAAUCAACCGAGAUUCCCCCAGUAGCGGCGAGCGAACGGGGAGCAGCCCAGAGUCUGAAUCAGCUUGUGUGUUAGUGGAACGGUCUGGAAAGUCCGACGGUACAGGGUGAUAGUCCCGUACACCAAAAUGCACAGGCUGUGAACUCGAAGAGUAGGGCGGGACACGUGGUAUCCUGUCUGAAUAUGGGGGGACCAUCCUCCAAGGCUAAAUACUCCUGACUGACCGAUAGUGAACCAGUACCGUGAGGGAAAGGCGAAAAGAACCCCGGCGAGGGGAGUGAAAAAGAACCUGAAACCGUGUACGUACAAGCAGUGGGAGCACCUUCGGGUGUGACUGCGUACCUUUUGUAUAAUGGGUCAGCGACUUAUAUUCUGUAGCAAGGUUAACCGUAUAGGGGAGCCGCAGGGAAACCGAGUCUUAACUGGGCGUUAAGUUGCAGGGUAUAGACCCGAAACCCGGUGAUCUAGCCAUGGGCAGGUUGAAGGUUGGGUAACACUAACUGGAGGACCGAACCGACUAAUGUUGAAAAAUUAGCGGAUGACUUGUGGCUGGGGGUGAAAGGCCAAUCAAACCGGGAGAUAGCUGGUUCUCCCCGAAAGCUAUUUAGGUAGCGCCUCGUGAACUCAUCUUCGGGGGUAGAGCACUGUUUCGGCUAGGGGGUCAUCCCGACUUACCAACCCGAUGCAAACUACGAAUACCGAAGAAUGUUAUCACGGGAGACACACGGCGGGUGCUAACGUCCGUCGUGAAGAGGGAAACAACCCAGACCGCCAGCUAAGGUCCCAAAGUCAUGGUUAAGUGGGAAACGAUGUGGGAAGGCACAGACAGCCAGGAUGUUGGCUUAGAAGCAGCCAUCAUUUAAAGAAAGCGUAAUAGCUCACUGGUCGAGUCGGCCUGCGCGGAAGAUGUAACGGGGCUAAACCAUGCACCGAAGCUGCGGCAGCGACACUAUGUGUUGUUGGGUAGGGGAGCGUUCUGUAAGCCUGCGAAGGUGACCUGUGAGGGUUGCUGGAGGUAUCAGAAGUGCGAAUGCUGACAUAAGUAACGAUAAAGCGGGUGAAAAGCCCGCUCGCCGGAAGACCAAGGGUUCCUGUCCAACGUUAAUCGGGGCAGGGUGAGUCGACCCCUAAGGCGAGGCCGAAAGGCGUAGUCGAUGGGAAACAGGUUAAUAUUCCUGUACUUGGUGUUACUGCGAAGGGGGGACGGAGAAGGCUAUGUUAGCCGGGCGACGGUUGUCCCGGUUUAAGCAUGUAGGCUGGUUAUCCAGGCAAAUCCGGAUAAUCAAGGCUGAGGUGUGAUGACGAGGCACUACGGUGCUGAAGUAACAAAUGCCCUGCUUCCAGGAAAAGCCUCUAAGCAUCAGGUAACAUCAAAUCGUACCCCAAACCGACACAGGUGGUCAGGUAGAGAAUACCAAGGCGCUUGAGAGAACUCGGGUGAAGGAACUAGGCAAAAUGGUGCCGUAACUUCGGGAGAAGGCACGCUGGUGUGUAGGUGAAGUCCCUGCGGAUGGAGCUGAGACCAGUCGAAGAUACCAGCUGGCUGCAACUGUUUAUUAAAAACACAGCACUGUGCAAACACGAAAGUGGACGUAUACGGUGUGACGCCUGCCCGGUGCCGGAAGGUUAAUUGAUGGGGUUAUCCGUAAGGAGAAGCUCUUGAUCGAAGCCCCGGUAAACGGCGGCCGUAACUAUAACGGUCCUAAGGUAGCGAAAUUCCUUGUCGGGUAAGUUCCGACCUGCACGAAUGGCGUAAUGAUGGCCAGGCUGUCUCCACCCGAGACUCAGUGAAAUUGAACUCGCUGUGAAGAUGCAGUGUACCCGCGGCAAGACGGAAAGACCCCGUGAACCUUUACUAUAGCUUGACACUGAACAUUGAGCCUUGAUGUGUAGGAUAGGUGGGAGGCUUUGAAGCGUGGACGCCAGUCUGCGUGGAGCCAACCUUGAAAUACCACCCUUUAAUGUUUGAUGUUCUAACGUUGGCCCCUGACCGGGGUUGCGGACAGUGUCUGGUGGGUAGUUUGACUGGGGCGGUCUCCUCCCAAAGCGUAACGGAGGAGCACGAAGGUUAGCUAAUCCUGGUCGGACAUCAGGAGGUUAGUGCAAUGGCAUAAGCUAGCUUGACUGCGAGCGUGACGGCGCGAGCAGGUGCGAAAGCAGGUCAUAGUGAUCCGGUGGUUCUGAAUGGAAGGGCCAUCGCUCAACGGAUAAAAGGUACUCCGGGGAUAACAGGCUGAUACCGCCCAAGAGUUCAUAUCGACGGCGGUGUUUGGCACCUCGAUGUCGGCUCAUCACAUCCUGGGGCUGAAGUAGGUCCCAAGGGUAUGGCUGUUCGCCAUUUAAAGUGGUACGCGAGCUGGGUUUAGAACGUCGUGAGACAGUUCGGUCCCUAUCUGCCGUGGGCGCUGGAGAAUUGAGGGGGGCUGCUCCUAGUACGAGAGGACCGGAGUGGACGCAUCACUGGUGUUCGGGUUGUCAUGCCAAUGGCACUGCCCGGUAGCUAAAUGCGGAAGAGAUAAGUGCUGAAAGCAUCUAAGCACGAAACUUGCCCCGAGAUGAGUUCUCCCUGAGACUUUAAGUCUCCUGAAGGAACGUUGAAGACGACGACGUUGAUAGGCCGGGUGUGUAAGCGCAGCGAUGCGUUGAGCUAACCGGUACUAAUGAACCGUGAGGCUUAACCUUACAACGCCGAAG